UGCAGUUCUCUACAGGAUAUCUGGGUAGAAAGGGUAAGGCUCUUGGCUUUCUUUUCAUACAUUCAAAAAUAGAACUUAAAAGUCUCCGUGAAUUGGAAACGACACUAAAUUUCUGCUGCUUCCAUUGAAAAUGUAACCAUGAAUCUGCUAAUAUCUUACUUUGGGGGAAUAUAUUGUUAAGAAGAAUGGAGACUCCAGUGAGGUAAUA
This 208-nucleotide long non-coding RNA is filed under the name Marmota monax (woodchuck). The record is from RNAcentral. Lineage: Eukaryota; Metazoa; Chordata; Mammalia; Rodentia; Sciuridae.